This 494-nucleotide ribosomal RNA is filed under the name uncultured bacterium. RNAcentral describes it as "partial 16S ribosomal RNA". It matches the Rfam family "Bacterial small subunit ribosomal RNA", at positions 30 to 507 of the family's 1533-position model. The record is from RNAcentral.
AUUGAACGCUGGCGGCAUGCUUUACACAUGCAAGUCGAACGGCAGCGGGGAGGAGCUUGCUUCUCUGCCGGCGAGUGGCGACCGGGUGAGUAAUACAUCGGAACGUGUCGAGAAGAGGGGGAUAACCACCCGAAAGGGUGGCUAAUACCGCAAAAAUUCUGAGGAAGAAAGCUGGGGACCUAGGAAUAGGCCUAGCGCUUUUUGAGCGGCCGAUGUCGGAUUAGCUAGUUGGUGAGGUAAAGGCUCACCAAGGCGAAGAUCUGUAGCGGGUCUGAGAGGAUGAUCCGCCACACUGGGACUGAGACACGGCCCAGACUCCUACGGGAGGCAGCAGUGGGGAAUUUUGGACAAUGGGGGCAACCCUGAUCCAGCCAUGCCGCGUGUAUGAAGAAGGCCUUAGGGUUGUAAAGUACUUUUGUUAGGGAAGAAAAGUCAGCUGUGAAUAAUGGCUGAUACUGACGGUACCUAAAGAAUAAGCACCGGCUAACUACGUG